RNAcentral lists this ribosomal RNA (496 nucleotides) under uncultured bacterium. Its description in RNAcentral is "partial 16S ribosomal RNA". It matches the Rfam family "Bacterial small subunit ribosomal RNA", at positions 29 to 507 of the family's 1533-position model. The record is from RNAcentral.
AUGAACGCUGGCGGCGUGCCUAAUACAUGCAAGUCGAGCGAACAGAUGAGGAGCUUGCUCCUCUGACGUUAGCGGCGGACGGGUGAGUAACACGUGGAUAACCUACCUAUAAGACUGGGAUAACUUCGGGAAACCGGAGCUAAUACCGGAUAAUAUAUUGAACCGCAUGGUUCAAUAGUGAAAGACGGUUUUGCUGUCACCUAUAGAUGGAUCCGCGCCGCAUUAGCUAGUUGGUAAGGUAACGGCUUACCAAGGCAACGAUGCGUAGCCGACCUGAGAGGGUGAUCGGCCACACUGGAACUGAGACACGGUCCAGACUCCUACGGGAGGCAGCAGUAGGGAAUCUUCCGCAAUGGGCGAAAGCCUGACGGAGCAACGCCGCGUGAGUGAUGAAGGUCUUCGGAUCGUAAAACUCUGUUAUUAGGGAAGAACAAAUGUGUAAGUAACUAUGCACGUCUUGACGGUACCUAAUCAGAAAGCCACGGCUAACUACGUG